Molecule: long non-coding RNA, 750 nt
Filed under: Mytilus galloprovincialis (Mediterranean mussel)
Lineage: Eukaryota; Metazoa; Mollusca; Bivalvia; Mytilida; Mytilidae
Source: RNAcentral
GAGGAAUUUUUAUUUACCAUUACUUCCUCAGGAGGGGAGAACUGUUUUUUGUCUAUCAUUCUGUCCAUCGAAAAUUGUGUCCCUUUGAUUUCAGGAACUACAAGUCAGAGUUUCCAGAAUAUUGAAAAUAAGUCACAUGUAUGCAUGUUUUACUGUGUGAUAUGUUUUCACAUAACCAUAACAAAAGUCUGUACAAGAUAGAAUGAAUAAUGUCCAAUCUAUAAUUUUUUUUCUGUGUUAUACUGAAUUACAUACUUUUGUACACCAACACAUAUCAUUGGUCACUGAAAGACUGAAGUGUGAGUGGCUGGGUUUUUGUCACAAAAAUAAUUAUUUUUCAAGUAGCUUUUUAUGAACAGAUAACCCAUUGACAAUUUUUUAUUGUUUUUUAAGUUAGUGAUAAAUUAAUAUAUAUCUGUAUUGAAGGAAUGUUCUGUAUCAGAGGUUUACCAGAAAUAUAUAUGUAUGUGAGUGGACACUUAUUUGAAGUUUUUGAUAAAAAUUGUUUUAUUGCAAUGAAAGUAAUAGUUUAAACUCUCUCUCUCUCUAUCCGUUUCUCUGGAAUGGCCCUCAAAAAUAAACACAGUGGCCAUUAAGUUUGUAUGUUUUGUCUUAUUUUACUCUAUAUUUCGCUUACUGUAUCAUCAACCAAGCAUCCCAAAUGAGAAGGGUGAUGGCCAUUAGAUGAACGAUUUAACUUGUAACUAAAGCAAAAUUCAGUUGUAUAUAGUUUUAUAUGCUCCUUUUUAU